AUUGUGAUGUGGUCCGGGAGCGUUCCGGGUGGUAACAGCGUGGUUAGACGCUCUCUGCGGGGAAGGAGAGAAGGACACAUGGCAAUGCUGAAUCCUUUAUUCAUGAAGACCUUUCCUGGCCAGCGCUUGCAGAGGCC
This 137-nucleotide long non-coding RNA is filed under the name Capra hircus (goat). Its description in RNAcentral is "lncRNA (ENSCHIG00000006064.1)". The record is from RNAcentral. Lineage: Eukaryota; Metazoa; Chordata; Mammalia; Artiodactyla; Bovidae.